Molecule: long non-coding RNA, 378 nt
Filed under: Pan troglodytes (chimpanzee)
Lineage: Eukaryota; Metazoa; Chordata; Mammalia; Primates; Hominidae
Description: long non-coding RNA NONPTRT009987
Source: RNAcentral
GCUGCCUGGGGGAGUGGAGGGAUUGGAUUUACACCCUCUUUUCCCUCCGAAGCCUCCUUGGUGGGGGCGAAGAAAGACCAUCCAACCCUGCCAAAGGCAAAAGGAUUAAGGAUAAAUGAAAGCAAGAUAAUGUAGAAGAACUACUUAGCUGCUGGGUUUUUAGAGAUGAGUGAUUUUUUUUUGUAGGGAGAAAUUAUGAAACACAUUGAAAUGGACAAAAAAUUACUGAAUGUCUUAAAUGAAAAAACAGCCAUAGUUUGGCACACCGUCCCGGGCAUUCUGUUGCUAGAGGGGCUGUCCGCUUUUCUUUGUGGUGCUCUGCACAACUCGUUCCCUCUGGAAAGGCAUCAGGGGAGGCAUUUGGGAAAGCUGGCACUU